UACGGAAGGCAGCAGGGGGAAUAUUGCACAAUGGGCGCAAGCCUGAUGCAGCCAUGCCGCGUGUAUGAAGAAGGCCUUCGGGUUGUAAAGUACUUUCAGUCGUGAGGAAGGUGUUAAGGUUAAUAACCUUAGCAAUUGACGUUAGCGACAGAAGAAGCACCGGCUAACUCCGUGCCAGCAGCCGCGGUAAUACGGAGGGUGCGAGCGUUAAAUCGGAAUUACUGGGCGUAAAGGGCACGCAGGCGGUUAAUUAAGUUGGAUGUGAAAUCCCCGGGCUUAAACCUGGGAAUGGCAUUCAAGACUGGUUAGCUAGAGUCUUGUAGAGGGGGUAGAAUUCCAUGUGUAGCGGUGAAAAUGCGUAGAGAUGUGGAGGAAUACCGGUGGCGAAAGGCGGCCCCUGGACAAAAGACUGACGCUCAUGUGCGAAAAGCGUGGGGAGCAAAACAGGGAUUAGAUACC
Molecule: ribosomal RNA, 459 nt
Filed under: uncultured bacterium
Lineage: Bacteria
Description: bacterial SSU rRNA
Rfam family: Bacterial small subunit ribosomal RNA
Source: RNAcentral